AACGAACGCUGGCGGCAGGCCUAACACAUGCAAGUCGAACGCCGUAGCAAUACGGAGUGGCAGACGGGUGAGUAACACGUGGGAACAUACCCUUCGGUUCGGAAUAACUCAGGGAAACUUGAGCUAAUACCGGAUACGUCCGCGAGGAGAAAGAUUCAUCGCCGGAGGAUUGGCCCGCGUCUGAUUAGCUUGUUGGUGAGGUAACGGCUCACCAAGGCGACGAUCAGUAGCGGUCUGAGAGGAUGAUCAGCCACAUUGGGACUGAGACACGGCCCAGACUCCUACGGGAGGCAGCAGUGGGGAAGUAUUGGACAAUGGGCGAAAGCCUGAUCCAGCAAUGCCGCGUGAGUGAUGAAGGCCUUAGGGUUGUAAAG
Molecule: ribosomal RNA, 374 nt
Filed under: uncultured bacterium
Lineage: Bacteria
Description: bacterial SSU rRNA
Rfam family: Bacterial small subunit ribosomal RNA
Source: RNAcentral